This is a non-coding RNA of Postia placenta Mad-698-R, 89 nucleotides long. The record is from Rfam. NCBI's taxonomy places the organism in Eukaryota, Fungi, Basidiomycota, Agaricomycetes, Polyporales, Adustoporiaceae.
GGCGCUAUAGCCAAGUGGUUACGGCGACAGAUUAGAAUCACACGAUCUGUUCCUCUUUGAGGGCGCAGGUUCGAGUCCUGCUGGCGUCG